CUUCCAUUACUAAAAUUGUUAAUUUAAAUUUUAAAUAGCAUGUUAGAUCUUAUGUGACAUAAUUUAAAAGGAAAACUUUAAGAAAAAAUAAUAUUAUUGUAACAGACUCAAUUUGCCCGGCCCGUUAAUAAAAUAAAACCAACAUAAAAGCAGAAAUUGAAUGUCCAAAAGUCCCAUUACAGGCCCAAAUCAGAAGCCCAAACUAACCUAAACCCAAACACCAGCCCUGGCCCAAUCACGAAGCAGCCCAACAAGAAAAAUCAGAAACCGAAAACUCCUAGGGUUUCCAGAAACUCCUAGCGCCGCAGCAACCGUACCACGCCUCCACGCGCUGCGCCGUACGCUGUACCUGCAAAUGAAACAAAGACAACACAGCACAAAGAAACAACAAAAAGAAAGAAACAAAAACAACAGAAAAGAGGAAAAAAAGAACAGAAUAGGGGAGAUUUUUAUUUUUUUCAUUUUUGCUUUUUAUUCUCUGUAAAUCGGGAUAUAAAAAUCCUACACAAACACUGUAAACAUUACACGCAUAUAUUGAAUACAAGAAACAAAAAAGAAAAAAAAAAGAAGAAGAGAGAUUCGAAAAGGUGAAUUCGCCAUUUUUUUUCUUCGGCAUUUCUUUACUGUUUUCUUUUAUUCUUUCACACGAAGAAGAGAAAUAAAAACGAAAUGACGGAGGGGAUCUUACCUCUUUCGUCGAAGACGCCGAAUGGUGGCCAUCUCCGUCGCGGUCGGAGCGCUGGCCAGGCGAACGGUGGCGCAAGGAUGCUAGGGUCGAGACCCUAGCAAAGCAAAAAAGGGGCAGCACUUGUUUUUCUUUAAAAAAACUGCAAAUGUCUAUUUUUUUUUAAGAUUUUUUUCAUUUAAAUAACGCAA
This 876-nucleotide long non-coding RNA is filed under the name Gossypium raimondii (Peruvian cotton). RNAcentral's name for it is "long non-coding RNA (GRAI_LNC009876)". The record is from RNAcentral. Lineage: Eukaryota; Viridiplantae; Streptophyta; Magnoliopsida; Malvales; Malvaceae.